Molecule: long non-coding RNA, 2577 nt
Filed under: Sus scrofa (pig)
Lineage: Eukaryota; Metazoa; Chordata; Mammalia; Artiodactyla; Suidae
Description: lncRNA (ENSSSCG00065072013.1)
Source: RNAcentral
GAGGAGGUCGUAGGAUGGUAGGGGAGCAAGGGAGGCUUGCAAAGGCAGACCGGCCAGCAGCCACCGCCAGUAAUUCCACGGGGAAGGAUUAAGGAGAAGAGAAACACACCUCGGAAUGUGACUUUGGAUAUCUUUUUUUGAUUUUAUUUUUCUUUUUUGGCCAUCUUGUCUCAUAUGAUGUUCUCUGGCUAGGGGUGAGGUCUGAGCCACAGUUGCAGCAAGGCCAGGCCCUUACCCACUGUGCCAGACCAGGGAUCGAACCUGCGUCCUGAUGCUGCAGAGAUGCCGCUGAUCCCAUUGACCACAGCUGGAACUCCUGGCCUUGGAAAACUUUUUUUUUUUUUGCUUUUUAAAGCCACACCCGCAGCAUCAUCUGUUUUGGGAUAUGAUUAUGCAAGUUGAAAGAACAGAAAACUGUUAAGUGCUCUGUUGUUUAUGAGAACUUCUUGAAUGUGCUAAAGCAUUGAUGGAAAUUUUCUCGAAGUGUCAACCCUAUUCUUAAAAGAGAUAUGACUUAGAACAGGAAAAGAAAUUCUUGGAGUUCCCAUCCUGGCUCAGUGGUAAACGAAUCCGACUAGGAACCAUGAGGUUGCGGAUUCGAUCCCUGCCCUUGCUCAGUGGGUUAAGGAUCCGGCGUUGCCGUGAGCUAUGGUGUAAGUUGCAGAUGCAGCUCGGAUCCCGCAUUGCUGUGGCUGUGGUGUAGGCUGGUGGCUACUGCUUUGAUUAGACCCUUAGCCUGGGAACCUCCGUAUGCUGCAGGAGUGGCCCUAGAAAGGGCAAAAAGACAAAAAAAAAAAAAAAAAAAGGAAAAGAAAUUAUUUUCUUUUUUUUCUGGCUUCACCCGAGGCAUUUGAAAGUUCCCCAGGCCAGGGAUUGGACCUGAGCCACAGCGGCGACCCAAGCCUGAAGUGAAAACACCAGAUUCUUAACCCUCUGCACCAUAAGAGAACUUUUUUUUUUUUUUUUAAUUUAGUUUAGUUGAUUUACAAUGUUGUGUUAGUUUCAGGUGUAGAGCAAAGUGACUCCGAUAUAUAUAUUCUUUUUCAGAUUUUCUUCCAUUAUAGGUUAUUUCAAGAUAUUGAGUAUAGGAGUUCCCGUCGUGGCCCAGUGGUUAACGAAUCCGACUAGGAACCAUGAGGUUGUGGGUUCGAUUCCUGGCCUCACUCGGUGGGUUAAGGAUCCGGUGUUGCCAUGAGCUGUGGUGUAGGUCGCAGACGCGGCUCAGAUCCCGCGUUGCGUUGCUGUGGCUCUGGUGUAGGCUGGCAGCUACAGCUCCAAUUAGACCCCUAGCCUGGAAAACUCCAUAUGCCAGGGGAGCGGCCCAAGAAAUGGCAAAAAGACAAAAAAAGAUAUCGAGUAUAGUUCCCUGUGCUGUGCAGUAGGGCCUUGUUGUUCACCUCUUUUACAAAUAGUAGCGUGUCUGUCUUACUCCCCUGACUCCUCACUUAUCCCUGCCCACCCGCUUCCCCUUUGGUAAGUUUGUUUCCAGUGUUUCUGAGAAGAAACCCUGACUUGAAGCGGGUCACUGUUGCCGCAUUUCCAUGAUGCUCUUUUCACAAAGGCUUCAUCCUUUGAAGAAGGUAUGUCUGUUACACAGAUGUCACCAAAUAUUCUGCCAGCAUGGGAACACCGUGAACCAUCUUGUGUCACUUUGAGGGCGGGGGUAAAAAGGGACACCAGGGAGUUCCUGUCGUGGCACAGCGGAAACGAAUCUGACUAGGAACCAUGAGGUUGCGGGUUCAAUAUCUGGCCUCGCUCAGUGGGUUAAGGAUCUGGCAUUACUGUGAGCUGCGGUGUAGAUUGCAGAAGUGGCUCAGAUCUGGCAUGGCUGUGGCUGUGGCAUAGGCCCACAGCUGUAGCUCCAAUUGGACCCCUAGCUUGGGAUCCUCCAUAUGCCAUGGGUGCGGCCCUAAAAAGCAAAGAAAAAAAAAAGUGACAACAAAACUCUUGUUUUGUCAGUGAACCUUUUUUAUUUUUUUGUUUUGGCCACACCUGAAGCAUGCUGAAGAUCCCAGCCAGGGAUGGAAGCUGCUCCACAGCAGUGACAAUAUCUAGUCCUUAAUGGCUAGGCUACCAGGGAACUACCAGUGGACAUAAUUUUUAAAAGUCAUUGAUCAAGAGAUGCCACAUAACCCUGAAAAAUGGCAAAGCAAAAUGUGCUACAAAAGAUGGAAUCACAUGCGUCAGCCCUUAGGAUGGCCCAGCCCUUAUCCCACAUGGGCUGCCCCAGAAAGAGGUUUGACCUUGGGUGCAAUACACCUUCGACCCUGCAGGACACCUUGUGUUCACUGCCGCCUCAACACCUGGGAGUUCCCGUCGUGGCGCAGUGGUUAACGAAUCCGACUAGGAACCAUGAGGUUGCGGGUUCGGUCCCUGCCCUUGCUCAGUGGGUUAACGAUCCGGCGUUGCUGUGAGCUGUGGUGUAGGUUGCAGACGCGGCUUGGAUCCUGCGUUGCUGUGGCUCUGGCAUAGGCCGGUGGCUACAGCUCCGAUUGGACCCCUAGCCUGGGAAUCUCCAUAUGCUGCGGGCGCGGCCCAAGAAAAAGCAAAAAAAAAAACAAAAAAAAAAAAAAAAAA